CUCUUCUUGAGCUACACAGAGCAAGGUCCCAAAGCCCAGGCUCCAGCAGAAGCCCGAAUGUCUGCACCACAAUUAAACUGCCCCUUGGCUGAGCCCCAUCAGCUGGCACAGCCCGGCUGCAAGUUUUAGUUGCCCUCUAGACCAGGGACAGACCCUGGGAGCCCCAGCCAGAGAGCUGCAGCUCAAGCAGGAGCAGCCCCGGCUUUGAGCUCGGAGGUGCCGGGUUGAAUCCCCAGCACGCUGGCCGACGG
Dermochelys coriacea (leatherback sea turtle) is the source of this 251-nucleotide long non-coding RNA. RefSeq lists it as uncharacterized. The record is from RefSeq and is a predicted model, not a curated record. The transcript is spliced from 2 exons. NCBI's taxonomy places the organism in Eukaryota, Metazoa, Chordata, Testudines, Dermochelyidae.